AUCCUUCGGUUCAUAAACAUGAUGAUUGGGUGUUCAUGCCUUAUGCAUGAGAUGUGCCUCCCUCAAACCUUGUUAGGACAUGGGCACAUUACCACCCAUCUGAUG
Octodon degus (degu) is the source of this 105-nucleotide small nucleolar RNA. RefSeq annotates it as small nucleolar RNA U13. The record is from RefSeq and is a predicted model, not a curated record. The transcript has a single exon. NCBI's taxonomy places the organism in Eukaryota, Metazoa, Chordata, Mammalia, Rodentia, Octodontidae.